UACGAGAGGUGCAAACGUUAUUCGGAAUCAUUGGGCGUAAAGGGUGUGUAGACGGCAAGAUAAGUCGAUUAUGAAAUUUCUUGGCUUAACCAAGAGUGUGUAGUCGAAACUGGAUUGCUUGAGGGUGGAAGAGAGAAGUGGAAUUCUCGGAGUAGCGGUAAAAUGCGUAGAUCUCGAGAGGAACACCGAUGGCGAAGGCAGCUUCUUGGUCCAUUUCUGACGUUGAAACACGAAAGCGUGGGGAGCAAACAGGAUUAGAUACCCUGGUAGUCCACGCUGUAAACGAUGAUCACUAGAUGUUAGAUUCGUUAUAGAAUUUAGUGUCGCAGCUAACGCGUUAAGUGAUCCGCCUGGGAAGUACGGUCGCAAGAUUAAA
Molecule: ribosomal RNA, 376 nt
Filed under: uncultured bacterium
Lineage: Bacteria
Description: bacterial SSU rRNA
Rfam family: Bacterial small subunit ribosomal RNA
Source: RNAcentral